RNAcentral lists this small nuclear RNA (161 nucleotides) under Ochotona princeps (American pika). Its description in RNAcentral is "U4 spliceosomal RNA (ENSOPRG00000023996.1)". The record is from RNAcentral. Lineage: Eukaryota; Metazoa; Chordata; Mammalia; Lagomorpha; Ochotonidae.
AGCUUUGUGCAGUGGCGGUAUCGUAGCCAAUGGUUUACCCAAGGUGCGAUUAUUGCUAAUAGAAGUCUUCAGUCUGUUGGUUUACUCUCCAAAUGGCCGCUGUGGUUAGAGCUGAGCCAAAGCCAGGAGCCAGGAGUCUUUUCCAGAUCUCCCACAUGGGU